GCGACAGGCUUAACACAUGCAAGUCGAGGGGCAGCACAGGUAGCAAUACCGGGUGGCGACCGGCGCACGGGUGAGUAACGCGUAUGCAACUUACCUAUCAGAGGGGGAUAACCCGGCGAAAGUCGGACUAAUACCGCAUGAAGCAGGGGUCCCGCAUGGGGAUAUUUGCUAAAGAUUCAUCGCUGAUAGAUAGGCAUGCGUUCCAUUAGGCAGUUGGCGGGGUAACGGCCCACCAAACCGACGAUGGAUAGGGGUUCUGAGAGGAAGGUCCCCCACAUUGGUACUGAGACACGGACCAAACUCCUGCGGGAGGCAGCAGUGAGGAAUAUUGGUCAAUGGCCGAGAGGCUGAACCAGCCAAGUCGCGUGAGGGAUGAAGGUUCUAUGGAUCGUAAACCUCUUUUAUAAGGGAAUAAAGUGCGGGACGUGUCCCGUUUUGUAUGUACCUUAUGAAUAAGGAUCGGCUAACUCCGUGCCAGCAGCCGCGGUAAUACGGAGGAUCCGAGCGUUAUCCGGAUUUAUUGGGUUUAAAGGGUGCGUAGGCGGCCUUUUAAGUCAGCGGUGAAAGUCUGUGGCUCAACCAUAGAAUUGCCGUUGAAACUGGGGGGCUUGAGUAUGUUUGAGGCAGGCGGAAUGCGUGGUGUAGCGGUGAAAUGCAUAGAUAUCACGCAGAACCCCGAUUGCGAAGGCAGCCUGCCAAGCCAUUACUGACGCUGAUGCACGAAAGCGUGGGGAUCAAACAGGAUUAGAUACCCUGGUAGUCCACGCAGUAAACGAUGAUCACUAGCUGUUUGCGAUACACUGUAAGCGGCACAGCGAAAGCGUUAAGUGAUCCACCUGGGGAGUACGCCGGCAACGGUGAAACUCAAAGGAAUUGACGGGGGCCCGCACAAGCGGAGGAACAUGUGGUUUAAUUCGAUGAUACGCGAGGAACCUUACCCGGGUUUGAACGCAUUCGGACCGAGGUGGAAACACCUUUUCUAGCAAUAGCCGUUUGCGAGGUGCUGCAUGGUUGUCGUCAGCUCGUGCCGUGAGGUGUCGGCUUAAGUGCCAUAACGAGCGCAACCCUUGCCACUAGUUACUAACAGGUAAAGCUGAGGACUCUGGUGGGACUGCCAGCGUAAGCUGCGAGGAAGGCGGGGAUGACGUCAAAUCAGCACGGCCCUUACAUCCGGGGCGACACACGUGUUACAAUGGCGUGGACAAAGGGAAGCCACCUGGCGACAGGGAGCGAAUCCCCAAACCACGUCUCAGUUCAGAUCGGAGUCUGCAACCCGACUCCGUGAAGCUGGAUUCGCUAGUAAUCGCGCAUCAGCCAUGGCGCGGUGAAUACGUUCCCGGGCCUUGUACACACCGCCCGUCAAGCCAUGGGAGCCGGGGGUACCUGAAGUCCGUAACCGCGAGGAUCGGCCUAGGGUAAGACUGGUGACUGGGGCUAAG
RNAcentral lists this ribosomal RNA (1439 nucleotides) under uncultured organism. RNAcentral's name for it is "16S ribosomal RNA". It matches the Rfam family "Bacterial small subunit ribosomal RNA". The record is from RNAcentral.